AUGAAAAAAAAAUUGGACUGAAAAGAAAUAUAUAUAUAUAUAUAUAUAUAUAUAUAUGUGUAUGUACAUAUAUAUUACAAGUCUACUCAAAGACAGGCAAUUGUUUAGUUUGGUUGAAUUUUCUUUUUUCUGCCAAGACAAUGGAUGCUCUUAAACUGUCAAAAGCUACAUUUUGUCAAAGGGGCUUUUUUUUAUUCUCAAUUUUCCAACACCUUUUUUAUGAAGAUACAACAAAGUUGACAGCUGCUUCAUAACUGUUACAUAUGAAAAAGUAAAGAAUCUUGGAUGGAUAUGAGUCCUAUUUGAACAGUUGGUUGCUCUCACUUUUUGUGAUAUGCAGUAAAUCAGUCUUUUGACUUACCUUGAGUCUUCUUAUGGGAUGAAGCUCAUUUUGCAAAUGGCAUAUGCAUAUGAAUGUUACAGAGGUGGCCUUUAAUCUCUGGACUGAACUUUACCCUAUGUCAUCCUGCGGAUAAGCAAUGGAACUUGAAAGGGUUUUUAGAACUUGUGUGGGAAAAAAGGAUUUAUUAACAAUUUGGACACAUGACUCCUGCAUGGAAGUACACUGCUCUGCUACACAGAAAUACUUUAGGGGAAAAGAUGCACACUAUAUCCUUUGGAUUUUUUGUCUGCUGAAUCCUAGUCUGCUCCCUCCUUUGUCGAAAAAAAAAAAAAAAGAUUUGCUAUGAAAAAUCAAGAGGCAUUCAUUAUGCAAAAUAUUGGAUAUAGUGUUAACUUCCUGAUGACUUCUGUGACAUUGGGGCACUGACAUAAAAUGCCUUUCAAGGAUCAUGCCUCUUCAGGGGUUAGCACCUCUUUUUGUGCUUUGCUUACUUUGACACAACCCCAAGUUUUGAAAAACUAAACCUGCUGGGACUUGAAAGAUCAUAAGGUGACUUAAAGUGCCACGGAAUCCAGCGGCUGUAAGAUACGUCUGUAUCUGCCUCCCUUGCAUUGCCAGUGGAUUGAAGGACAACAUACAUAUAUAAGUUAAUUAUAAUAUGCACAAUGUUCUGUGUGUUUUUUUUUUUUUUUUUUUGUGCCCACUUACCCCCACCCCUUUUUACAUUAUUUCUGGAUCAGGGUACGAAAAUUGUUUUCUUUUGUUGCUUUUGCACCUCAGACCCUACCUGUUUCCCUCUUGACAGUUAAUAACUGCACGAUAAGGAACCUAUUUUUAGGUCCCUCCCUAAUCUCCUUGGCUUCUUCCGUUUAACAGUAUCUGCAUGAUAAAUGGGCUCCAUGUCAAGAUGGGAGAGAAACGGAGCAAUAGACUCGUCAGCCAAAUCUUUCAGCUGUAGGACAACCAGCAGUUGAUUUUGGAUAUGGGAGCCAAGUGCUUGAGAUUUCUGUGGCCUGGAAAUAAAACAACAGAACUUAAAGUCAGAACAUUGUAUAAAUGUUUCUACUGUAAAUAAUUAAUCUUUUUGUUGAAAAGGAGUAAUUCCAUCAUUUCUUUAUGUUCACAUGGCCUUAAUUGUACAAAGACACCCUGUGGUGCAAAAAGUCAUUUUUAAGACAACAAAAAAGGCUUCUGUUGAAGGGGAAAAUUUGAUUUUAAAAAUGGAAAACACAGAAGUGAAAAUUGACUGGAUUUUUGAAUUUGGAAUUCCAUCCCAAUGCACAUCCUUUCCACCUCUUCCUCCAAAAAAGAUUAAUGAUUAUUGCUGAAUAAAGAAAGUAAACAAAACAAAGCAAGCUUAAUGCUUGUUGCCUGUAUGUAGCGAAGUAUCUGAAGGUCUCGUCAUAACACCUGAUUUUUCUUGCAGUCAUCUGUUAUGUCCAGUUACUACACAAGCAAGGUAACUCUAUCCUGUGAGACCUCUCAUGGUCUGACCCUUAUCUCUGAAUCUUGUGUUGUCUCAUUAAAAGCUUGCUCCGGUGACUGUAUUCCACUUUGCAUUUAUUUUUUUAAGAGGUUUGUGCCAUUGGCUGUUUAAUUUAAGCUGCUCAAUUUUGCAGCUGAUGGUACGUGACAGUAGCUAGAAGGCAGCUCUUCCCUGAGCAGGAACAGUGAAUGAACAUUGACUUUUUUCAUUUGAGUUCCACCACUUAAACAUUUCCUUUUACUGCUUAAUUGCUCCUAGUGAAUUCUGGGACCCCCUAUACUUUGUAUUGGCAUUAAUUUUCACUAAGGCCUCCUGAUUCUUCAGUCCAUUUUUUUGGCAGUGCUUUUCUUUUUGUUCAUAAGUUAUCUUUUUACUGAUGACAUUAUUGGCCACGUAUAUUCAAUAUUUUGAAUUGGUUUAUGUUAAUUGCGCCCCAGUGUGCUUUGAAGUUUGCCACUUUCCUGUGCAGGUAAGAGUUGCCUACCUAGUUUUGUGCUUGUGAAAAGGUUUAAACUUAAUGCAGACAGGGACAUUAUUAUUUUUCUUUAAGAAAUGGGGUUAAUAGAGGUUUUUUUUCUGUUUGCUGUUUUAAUGUCUCUAGUGUGUAAUGAACCCAGUCAAUAUUUUUAAAUUGUUUUUGAAUUGUUCUUUUGAAGCGUAACCAAGAAUUUCUGAAUAAUGUGAAAUUUCAUUCCUUAAAAAAUGGGGUGGUAGACAUGUUUAUGGCUGGAUGUUUUGCUAUAAAGGUAAGAUUAUUAUAAAUGUAUGUUUUUUCUUUUCAUCUCUUGGUGUUUGGUUGUCUCUUUACCAAUGCAGCAACCAGCUAGCUAAAAUCCACAGGGCCGUUUUAGCCUUCUUAGGUAUCUUAAGUAAUGGCUUUAAAGAACUUUUUUCAUGUGAACUCCUGUAAAGUUUCACAGUUUCAAAAACUCGCAUCACAAGCUUACUUUUGUUUUGUUUUUGUUUGUUUAUCCUCACCCCACCCCACCUCUUUCUCCAUGGAGCAAGUAGUUACAAAUCUGUGUACCUGUGCUGGCAUUCAGCUACAUUAGUGCCUUUUCAUGUGUUUCUCCCCUGUUGCUGUUCCUGGUUAUCCCUUUGUACUUGGGAACUAAUUGGAAUUCAAGUCCAGUUUAGCUUGUUUUGCAAAAAGCAUUAAAGUUUGUACUUUGGAUGAGUAAAGUUUACAGAUAACCUCCUUUGAUGUUAAGUAUGUAGAGUGUGACUUUGUCUGUAAAGGCAGUUGAUCCAUUUUAGUUAAAACACUACUGCUACUCUGAAAGUUUUAACUGUAAGAGAGUGGCUCUGAUAGUUAUAAAUGUUUGUUAAUAUGUGUACGUAUGUGUAUACUUUUUUUUUCUUAAAAAAAAAAAAAAGUCAGUGUUGACUAGAUUGUUUUAAGCAACUUGUACAGUUUAUGCUCAAAGUAUUACGGUAAAAUUACCUUAUUUCUUGGACAUGAUAUUCUUCUCCGGUGGCUUUACAGUCUUUUAUUAAGAGUACAUGAAGGUGUUGACAUAGCCACAUGUAAGUUUGUGAAAAUGAAGUGUUAUUACUACAAGUAUGGAAUAAGGAAGCAAAGUGUCGUCUUUUGGGAGUUGUUGACACCAAAUAUGCCGACCGCUGUAUUGUUUUGCUGGCUAUCCCCCACAUCCACUCCCUGAAAAUAAAACGCAAACACACACACUUUUUGUCAAGCUUGGAACCCUUUCGGCAGUGUAUCUUUUUCAAAAUCUGGAUAAAGGAUGGAAGUAUAAAAAAAGCCCCAGUGACUCUCUUUGGUGAUGGUCCAGAAGGUUUUUCAGAAUCACUCAAUGGUAUUUUUAGUUUGCAUUUGUUGAAAAGGCCAUUAUGUUAUACUGUUAUCCUCAGGCAACUUAUUUUUUCUCAUUGUACAUAUUUGUUUAUAGCAGGAAUAUUAAUUAGUAGACCCCAAACACUAGACAAAAUGCUAAACGGAUUUAGAUUCAUCAAGUUUUUUUUCUUUUGUUGACAAAGCUUAUUUUUGGUGCCGUGUCCCAUAUAAUUUAAAAUGUGACAAUUUCAGCAGUUUUAUUUUCCCUUUUUAUUAAUGGAUGCUAUUGGUUAAAGUAUAUGUAAGUUGAUGGUACCAUGCUGGCUUAUAAAAUUACAUGCAUGUUUUGUUGCAGUAAUAUUCGCUUACAUCACUUGCUUAAAUUUUAGUCAUUUAAGAAAAUCUUUUGACAGAAAAUGUAUUGUUUUCAUAGCUCUUUUCUGACAUUUUGAUGAUUUUUGCAUUAUUAAUUUUGAAGACUGCUAGUGAUUCAAUUCUGAAAUAUCUGCUCAGCACCUGAGUUAGUUGAAUAGCUGGACAUUUGUAGAUUCAACUACAAUCUGUUAGGUGUUUGGCAGUGUAACUGAGGGGACGAACUUCAUGUACUUCUGUUCUUUAUUUAAUGUUGACAGAAUUAAAUGAUCUGUUGGAGAGUUAGGUUUUCAUUUUCUGUUUCUUAAUAUUACUUGUGGUAACAUAUGCACUCAGAACCUUUUGAUAUGCUUUUAUUUGAAAUUAUAUUAAAGGUCCUUAUGUGUUUUUGUACCAAUAGUGUUUUAAGUCAAUAUUAAAUAUGCAAAUAUAUUCACUGUGAUCCUAGCAGCUUGAGAUAAAGCUGGACUGUGACUUUGUCUUUUUCUGAACUCUAAAGGCUUAGGCAAAAGUAUGAUUUAUUAUCAUUGUUUUAAGAAUAUAGUUAGGUUAUAAGCUGUUUUUCUAACUGCAUUUUACUGGAUGCCCAUAAAUCAAACUUUAUGUUCUUAAUUUUUUUUUUUUUGGGAAAGUAAUGGGUGACUUUCAUUUUGAAAUGACCUUUUGUGCACACUUAGUGUGCUUUUGUGGACCAUCAAGCUAUUUAACUUUUCUCCAACUUUGCAUAUAAGUUUAAACUUAUUUGUUAAGAUUAGAGUAACAGAAGCAUUUUAUUUUUAAUUUCCAUGUGCUUACUGUACUUUGUUAAUUAUUCUUAGAAAUCUGCACUGUAUUUGUAAAACAUUUAUGCACCCAUCUGUGCACAUCAGAAUACUUUGUUCUCCCUUGUAGAUUUACAUUGCUUAAUUGUCUACUGUAUUCAAUGGGCACUACUCAUUUAAGGCCGCCUUACAUCCUAAUAUUACAGUUAGUUUCAGUUAACCAUUUCAGAAAUUUGUCUUCGUAAUACAAUGUAUUGUAGUUUUGCGGUUACGUUCUUCAUCCAGAUAUUUAGAUUUUUUAGGUUCUCCUGCUUACAUCUUAUGGUAGCUAUGCAUUGCGUUUCAUACAACUUUGUAGAGCAUUUGUUUGGCAUGCAACAAUUUGACUCAAUAUUCCUUUCAUUUCAUAAUGGAAAAUUGGCUUUAAUGAGGAAAAACAUUAAUUAUAGGUUUAAUCCUAGGUUUGUAUAAAAAUAUAAAAAUAACUGGAUCAUAAUUCCUUAGUUAAUGAAUGUAUUAAUUUGCAUGUAAUGAUGAUUAUUUACAGUUAAGACCACACUGAAUUCAAAACGUUUUCACAAAAUUGUCUUGCUGCUUUUUUAUUUUUUUUAUUCUUUCUGGAUGGGAGCUUGACAAUGUUCUACACACUUUAAGCUGGAACCUUUGUAUGUAGCAAUGAAGGCUGACCUUUUUGCUAAUUUUUGAUAUGUGUGAUACAGGUCACCUUGAAUAGUGUUCAUUGCAAAGUACUUCACAUUGAUGUGGAAAUUGAUACUUUAUUAUUUCACCUCUGUGUUUUGUUUAGCUGUACAGCAGGGUGUCCAUUGAGUAUUUCAGGGAGAACCAAAGGAUUCAACACACUUUCCCAUCCUCUACUAACCCCUAAGGUUUGGUGCUUAAAUUUGAAAUAGAUAAAUGAUUUUCUACCUUUUCACAAGCCACUGUUCCACUGCUGUUUAACAUUGUGAAUGUUUUGGAAAUUGUUAAUACAAGUGAAAAAAAAUGUAAAUAGUUCCCACAUCCCCUAUGUCAUGAUCAACAAAAAAAUAAAUAAAUGAAAAGAAAGUGAAAAUGUUUA
Long non-coding RNA from Polypterus senegalus (gray bichir), 5835 nucleotides. RefSeq lists it as uncharacterized. Lineage: Eukaryota; Metazoa; Chordata; Cladistia; Polypteriformes; Polypteridae. The transcript is spliced from 2 exons. The record is from RefSeq and is a predicted model, not a curated record.